Molecule: unclassified non-coding RNA, 261 nt
Filed under: Hevea brasiliensis (rubber tree)
Lineage: Eukaryota; Viridiplantae; Streptophyta; Magnoliopsida; Malpighiales; Euphorbiaceae
Source: RNAcentral
CACGAUCAGGAUCUGAUGCAAGUAUAAGAUUUUUUGCUUCGCUUAGAGCAACCUUGAUGCUCUUAAGAUGAGUCCAAGCAGCAGCAGGAACCUCCCAUACCAUACUAAAGUCUUCAUCAGGUCGCACAGAACCAGACCUUGCAGCCAAGUCCCUUACAUGACCAUAACUAGGUAAAACUUCAAACAUAUCACCAAGGUACCGUUGAAUGACCUUCGCCUUUGUAAUGGACUCAACCACCACAACAGAUUUCCCAGUAGGAG